AGUUUGAGACCAGCCUGGGCAACAUAGCGAAACCCUGUGUCUACUAAAAAUACAAAAAUUAGUUGGGCGUGGUGGUGCAUGCCUGUAAUCCCAGCUACUCAGGAAGCUGAGACACAAGAAACUGCUUAAAUCCGGGAGGGAGAAGUUGCAGUGAAUUGAGAUGGUGCCACUGCACUCCAACCUGGGUGAUAAAGUGAGACUCCCUCAAAAAAAAAAUAAAAAAUAAAAAAUGGUGACGGGCGUCUCACUCUGUCACCCAGGCUGGAAUGCAGUGGUACAAUCAUAGCUCAUUACAG
This 296-nucleotide long non-coding RNA is filed under the name Homo sapiens (human). Its description in RNAcentral is "non-protein coding lnc-SRP54-8:1". The record is from RNAcentral. Lineage: Eukaryota; Metazoa; Chordata; Mammalia; Primates; Hominidae.